Molecule: ribosomal RNA, 427 nt
Filed under: uncultured cyanobacterium
Lineage: Bacteria; Bacillati; Cyanobacteriota
Description: bacterial SSU rRNA
Rfam family: Bacterial small subunit ribosomal RNA
Source: RNAcentral
GGGGAAUUUUCCGCAAUGGGCGAAAGCCUGACGGAGCAAGACCGCGUGAGGGAGGAAGGCUCUUGGGUUGUAAACCUCUUUUCUCAGGGAAGAAGCAAGUGACGGUACCUGAGGAAUCAGCCUCGGCUAACUCCGUGCCAGCAGCCGCGGUAAUACGGAGGAGGCAAGCGUUAUCCGGAAUUAUUGGGCGUAAAGCAUCCGCAGGUGGCUAUUGCAAGUCUGUCGUCAAAGACCGGGGCUUAACUCUGGGAAGGCGGUGGAAACUGCAAAGCUAGAGAGAGGUAGGGGUAGAGGGAAUUCCCGGUGUAGCGGUGAAAUGCGUAGAGAUCGGGAAGAACAUCGGUGGCGAAAGCGCUCUACUGGACCUGACUCUGACACUCAGGGACGAGAGCUAGGGGAGCGAAUGGGAUUAGAUACCCCAGUAGUC